AAAGCUUUAAGUUAACAAAACUAUUAACCUUCAAAGUUAAAAUUAUAGGUAAUUCUUGUAAGCUUUA
This 67-nucleotide transfer RNA is filed under the name Tapeinus singularis. RNAcentral describes it as "tRNA-Trp". Lineage: Eukaryota; Metazoa; Arthropoda; Insecta; Hemiptera; Reduviidae. The record is from RNAcentral.